RNAcentral lists this ribosomal RNA (404 nucleotides) under uncultured Sphingomonadales bacterium. RNAcentral describes it as "bacterial SSU rRNA". It matches the Rfam family "Bacterial small subunit ribosomal RNA", at positions 355 to 776 of the family's 1533-position model. The record is from RNAcentral. Lineage: Bacteria; Pseudomonadati; Pseudomonadota; Alphaproteobacteria; Sphingomonadales.
UGGGGAAUAUUGGACAAUGGGCGAAAGCCUGAUCCAGCAAUUCCGCGUGAGCGAAGAAGGCCUUCGGGUUGUAAAGCUCUUUCGGCAGGGACGAUAAUGACGGUACCUGCAGAAGAAGCCCCGGCUAACUCCGUGCCAGCAGCCGCGGUAAUACGGAGGGGGCUAGCGUUGUUCGGAAUCACUGGGCGUAAAGCGUGCGUAGGCGGCUACUCAAGUCAGGGGUGAAAGCCUGGGGCUCAACCUCAGAAUUGCCCUUGAAACUAGGUAGCUUGAACACGGGAGAGGUAAGUGGAAUUCCGAGUGUAGAGGUGAAAUUCGUAGAUAUUCGGAAGAACACCAGUGGCGAAGGCGGCUUACUGGACCGUUGUUGACGCUGAGGCACGAAAGCGUGGGGAGCAAACAGG